This 524-nucleotide ribosomal RNA is filed under the name uncultured bacterium. RNAcentral describes it as "partial 16S ribosomal RNA". It matches the Rfam family "Bacterial small subunit ribosomal RNA", at positions 28 to 523 of the family's 1533-position model. The record is from RNAcentral.
GACGAACGCUGGCGGCGUGCCUAAUACAUGCAAGUCGAACGAAGCUUUUUUAACUGGUGCUUGCACCGACUUAAACAACUGAGUGGCGAACGGGUGAGUAACACGUGGGUAACCUGCCCCAAAGCGGGGGAUAACAUUUGGAAACAGAUGCUAAUACCGCAUAACCACAGAAACCACAUGGUUUCUGUGUCAAAGAUGGUUUCGGCUAUCACUUUGGGAUGGACCCGCGGCGUAUUAGCUAGUUGGUAAGGUAAUGGCUUACUAAGGCAAUGAUACGGAGCCGAACUGAUAGGUUGAUCGGCCACAUUGGGACUGAAACACGGCCCAAACGCCCGCGGGAGGCAGCAGUAGGGAAUCUUCCACAAUGGACGAAAGUCUGAUGGAGCUACGCCGCGUGAGUGAAGAAGGUUUUCGGAUCGUAAAACUCUGUUGUCAGAGAAGAACGUGUGCGAGAGUAACUGUUCGUGCAGUGACGGUAUCUGGCCAGAAAGCCACGGCUAACUACGUGCCAGCCGCCGCAGUAA